GCCGGGCAUGGUGGCACAUGCCUGUAGUCCCAGCUACUCGGGAGGCUGAGGUGAGAGGAUAGCUUGAGCCCAGGAGUUCUGGGCUGUAGUGCGCUAUGCCGAUCGGGUGUCCGCACUGAGUUCAGCAUCAGUAUGGUGACCUCCCGGGAGCGGGGACCACCAGGUUGCCUUAGGAGGGGUGAACCGGCCUAGGUGGGAAACGGAGCAGGUCAAAACUCCCGUGCUGAUCAGUAGUGGGAUUGCGCCUGUGAAUAGCCACUGCACUCCAGCCUGGACAACAUACUGAGACUCCAUCUCU
RNAcentral lists this signal recognition particle RNA (298 nucleotides) under Saimiri boliviensis boliviensis (Bolivian squirrel monkey). RNAcentral describes it as "Metazoan signal recognition particle RNA (ENSSBOG00000003319.1)". It matches the Rfam family "Metazoan signal recognition particle RNA". Rfam says of the family: The signal recognition particle (SRP) is a universally conserved ribonucleoprotein. It is involved in the co-translational targeting of proteins to membranes. The eukaryotic SRP consists of a 300-nucleotide 7S RNA and six proteins: SRPs 72, 68, 54, 19, 14, and 9. The record is from RNAcentral. Lineage: Eukaryota; Metazoa; Chordata; Mammalia; Primates; Cebidae.